Non-coding RNA from Anas platyrhynchos (mallard), 8069 nucleotides. The record is from RefSeq and is a predicted model, not a curated record. NCBI's taxonomy places the organism in Eukaryota, Metazoa, Chordata, Aves, Anseriformes, Anatidae.
CGUUUGAAAGUGAGUUUAGAAGCAGGUCUAGAGCCAGGUGUCGUUUAUUUACGGAUUUCUAAGUCUUUGGGCAUGAACAGGACGGUUCUGUCAGUCGCUGGUGUUAGUCUUUGCUUUGAUAAACGCACAGCGUUGCUUGUGUGAUCUGUGAAAGAUCAUCCUCCUCGAAGUUUUAGAUGUAACAUAUAUAAAUCUCUGUGAAAAUAACUGCACAAGUAUACGUUUAUUUACUUCUUUUGGAGCUUCUGCCCUAUAGGUGCUCAAUUCUUGCCGUACAUCUCCUAUUUAAUCCAGUACCAGAGCUUGCAGGAUCAGAACUUUUUGUAAAUCAAGGUUAGGUAAGAGGACGUUGAUAAGGUGUUGGGGUUCUUUCUGAUCUUACCGGACUAUUUUAUGCCAUGGGUUAUCUCAUACAGUCCUGGUGUAGAAUACUAUGUAAUACUUCACCUGUUAAAUCAUACAGCCCUGUAAGGUUACAUGUUAGCUAAUAAAAUGUAAUAUAAGUGUCUCAAAGUGGAUUAUACAGUAGCUAUUUCUUCCUCAGACUCCUUUUAUGCUGUGUUGUGUUUUUUUCCUCGCUUUGUUUUUGGAUGAAUUCACUGUUGGUGAGAGGUCUGGGGUGCCAUAGCAUCAGAAAUCUGGUUGUGGUUGUGUCUGUGUGUCUUGGUGAGACAUCCCUGGUUUGGGUGCAUGAAAUCCGUGCUGCACAGCCACGGCUGAGCUUUCACAUCCACUCUCAGCCCGGUUACUUCGACUUUUUUAACCCAUUACACGACAUGGUCACUUAGGGUAGUGCACUCACCAAAGAAUUUGGCACUUUGCUGAUGGUAUCGCUGUACUCUCCUGUUACACAUAACUGCCUGCCAGAAAUUGGCCAGAUGCAGCUAUUUCACGUGGGUUUCCUCCAAACCAUCAGCCAGUGGUGGCAUAACCACUGCCCUCCAUAGAGAGGAUGCUCACCUGGGCACACUCGAGGGUGUUCCCGUUCAUUCCUGGUGUACGUAGCUCGACCUGUACCAUGCAGAGGCAGUAAAACAAGGUCAGUGCUGAGGGGGACUCCCUGGCUGCGGGACGCAGAGCUACGUUUUUGAAAUACUGCACAAAACUCCGGUGGCUUAGAGCUACCAUGCCGGGUCAUUUAGUCUGAGGAUUGAAUGCUGCUUUUGAAAGGAGCUUUAUCAGCUCAAAAUUGUGACAGUGAUAAAAUACUGACUGCAGCACUGGGUAUUUCUUACAGUUCUUCCAACUCUUUGUUGCGCUUUAAAGCUUAUUUGAAUUCUGAUUUCUCGCUGGUUUUCUGUAGGUUUUAACACUGAAGGGAAAUAGAGUGCAAGCAUCUAUGCAAAGUGUGCUCUCAUAUGAAGAAUAUAAAUAAAAAGCUCUUUCCCCAAGCUAGUUCCUUGGUGUGAUGCUCAUAAUAACAGUAAAGAGUUUAAAGUGAUAGGCAUCCCUUUAAAGACCUGCAUUUUAAAGAAGCUUGGGUGUUGUAAACGGGUACAGAUACACGCUUUCUUACUCCUCCCCCAGCUGAACCACCUACGGACGGAAAGGGGAUCUACUCCAGGUGUGACACCAAGUGGGACAAGAGAGUUGUGUGGUAGUGUUUAGGGUGCCACGGGAUCAGCACACACAAAGUAACGCAGCACGUGCAGGUUAUCGUGGAUUUGUGCAGACUUCAAUCACUUCACCACUCAGGUAGCUGACAGCAGGGUGUAGAUAUAACAAAGAGGUAGCUUUUAUCUAAUAUCAGCAAUAUCUAAAGGGCAGUCACACUAUUGAGCCAUGCAAGUGAGUUUGUAUCCAGAACUUUUUUAAAAUUUUAUUUAUUUUGGAACUGGCUUAAUAAAAAUUAAUUAAGAAGAGAAAUAGCUGGAUUUUAAGUGGUGUAAUUGUACUGUAAACCAUCAGGGAGUGCGUUUUCUGAAGAAACAAGGUUGAAGUGAGGGGGAAAAAAGCUGCUUAGUCCAAAUCUGUGGUAUAGGCGAUGUGGCUGAGUUAUGUGUAACUAUCCUCGCAGCAGGAUUUGUGUAUUAUGUAUCAGUGGAUAGGAUAUACCUUCCUCUAAACCUACACCCAGAACUUCGGAGAGUUUUAAAGUAACAUCACUUGCAUGCAGGGAUUGAGGACUUUAUCUUAUUUUCUGUAUUUAACAGCCCAUAUUAUCUAUGCCAGUGAUGCCUCUUUAAUUGUCCAUUUAAAUGGCGGAAUAAUUAUCAGUGGUUUUCUUAAAUGCUUACGGCCCAGAAGGCUGAUGUCGAGCAGUUCUUCCCACUUCAUUCUUUCCAUGGAUUACUCCUUCCUCCCCCACGUCCUCCCGCCUUACAGGUACGGGAAUUGCUGAGCUGGGGAAGCCUGAGAAGAGCUGGACCUGCAAAAUAGGAGCGGAUGCUCGAAUGAAUGGCUUUCCCUCCAAAGCCAUAAAAGAGCUCGGAAAAGCUUAUCUUUUGCCGGUGUGCUUUGCUAACGUGUUGUGUAGCAGCUGACAUCUCCAGAGCCUGCUCUUGAAGCCGGUGUUAAUUUAACCCAGCGCUCCUUGACGCGUGUCCCUGCAUCGUCUGAGCCCCUGGAGUUGGGAAAGGAGAAGCAACCAGCAUCAGUGUGAAAUUUAAAAAGCAUUUAAUGUAGAGAUGGAGCGAUUUAAUCACUUAACAUAUCUGAAACAGCCUCUGUCUAAAUAAAUAUUUGGGGUCUUUUCGGAGUUCUGCCGCCAGCAGUAGAAACCCAAAUGGAAACUAGUGACUUUUUGAAUGGAACAGCUUUCUGUGUCCCCAAAGUCUGUCCCUGAUUUAUUAAUUAGUGAGCUGCUCAUGCAUAUGGCCAUAGUGACCCUUGUAAAUGUGUGGAAGUGUGUUUAUGUGACUCAUGGGGUUUCUUGGCUGGGGGGGCUGUUCCUUGAGGAAGGCAGCAGUAGGUUAUCUGCUCUGCAAGUUUUGUAGUGCUGGAAAGGCUUCAUAAUUGGAUCCGAGCGUAAGGUGCAUUCAGAGCCGUGAUGACUUUUAACCCUUCUGCUGCUUCUCUGUUUUACUUGGAGCAGGAGGUUUCUGGCAGGAGCAGAGUGAAGGGUUAUAGGGCUGCUUGGAGCUGUGUUAGUUGCUCUCAGAGCUUAUGGCUGUGGCAUAUAAAACGUUAGAGGGUAGAAAAAGUAAAUUCAUUGCUAUUCAGCCAGAUUUUUCCGAGCUGUGCGAGCAGCCUCACGCUGGCUCUGAAGAGCGAGUAGCUUCGGCUACAAAGACAUUGAAAAGAAAAGGCACGUGUUUCCCCAUCGCUCAUCCCUUUUGCCGGGGCAGAGGUGAGGCAGGAGCCAGGAGGAGGUUGUCCUGCGCCCAGCCUCGUGGCAGCAGGCAUCAACGAAGCCCAACUUUCAGGUGGGGAUCCCUAGCAUGGAUCCUUCAGCUUAGGAGGAGUUUAAAAGGUGGCUUUAAACUGCUUUUGUUGUGCUUUUGUACAGCGAUAUCAGCAACCUGCUAGAGCCAGGGCUGGACCAGAUGCCCACAGAGGUGCCCAUGUGGUCCCUGGGCAUUUUUUUCUUCUUGUUCCUUGGUUGCAUCCUCCCACGUCCCGAGCGUGGGGAAAGAUGCAGAAGAGGAAUUCAAAUACAAAAGUUUGGGGGUUGCAUCAUUUGGAGAAACCCGAGAUGAAUUUUGAAGCCCGAUGGUAAAUUCACAUGAUUUCAUACAAAAUCGGCAAAAUAACUGGCCGUGGAGGGGUUGCAUUGGACCAGGCUGCAGUGGGAACUGCUCUGCUCAGCAUCAGUGAAUCGCGUGGUACCGAAAGGGGGAUAGUUGGUGUUUUGUGGCCGUACUUGGGGCAGGAUUUCUCCCUGCCCCAGGAUUUGCAGAUUGCCCAGAGCCUGUGCAGGGUACCUGGUAGUUGGCUAGCUGGCUUUCAGAGGUUAAGACGUACUGAAAGUGAGUUAAAUCUAUUAUUUUGAGCAGCUGAGAUGCGAUAAAAACUUUGAGGACACAUACCAAAAUCCAAGGUAAAACAUUGGUUUGGUAAAAGGGGAAAAAAAAAUAUAAAUAAAUCACAACACAACCUUUACUGCUGUCACCUGUAGCUGGUGCCCGUGAGUUUCAUUCUGCCAUGUUUGUUGGCAGGUGGGUCAGAGGACACCAACACUGUUGAAUUUUCCCUUCCCUGCUAAAUUCAAGCUAGAAAAUCCUCUCCGUGUGGCUCAGUCCUCACCCCGAGCGUCUCCGCCGGGCGAUCCCGAGCUGCCGAUGGGGAAUCCCGGUGGCAGGACGCCAGGAGGCAGCGGGUGCCCUGCCACCUGCUUCCCUCCCUCCCUGCACACGGGCAGCACGCCAGGGGCAGGGGGGGCACGCAGCCAGCCUGGGGAGGCCGAGAAGCAAUUUGGGUGCGUCUUCAUCGGCGUUGAACCCAACGUUGGGUUAGAGGUGGUUCCACCUUCCUCCAUCUCUCGCCGUGAGCUGUGUGGGGUACCAUGGGGUGCUCUCGGGUGGCUGAGGAUCUGUCCUCCAUGCAGCUGGCAAAGGGCCUGUUUACAUGCUGAUAUUUAAACAAGAAAUAAAAUCGGGUCUUUAGGUUGGUUACGUUUUGGUGACCAUCUUAGAGCAGAAGUUAUCAUGUCUUUGAGCCUUCAGAGCUGCUUCGCUGGCACCAGAAGUAACUUUGGGAGAAGCUUGUAAAAGUUGAGCAUGGAAAGCAUCCUGGGCAGCUCCGCAUGAACGAUGGGCUCCUUGCAAGGCUUGGGCAGUGUCCUGAGCCUUGUCAAAGCCAUUCUGCCCCCAGCCAACGAGGACAUCGUGACCAUGGAUGGUUGGCUUCUCUGGAACCUUGAGGCACAAACGGGGUGGAAUAGAAACCUAAGGAGAUCUGUUUCUGCUCAAGGAUCCCCAGCUCUGCGUGAGAGCAGAUCCAGAACACAGCGCACGCACAGGAGGAGCCCAAUUUUUCGCACGCUGGCUACAACAGCAGCAAAGGUCGUGCUCGGUCUGUACCGUGGAGCAAUGCAGGGCUUUGCGCACGCUAUGCACAAUUCUGAGACCCAAAAAAAACACACCCCAAAGACAGAAACCCAAGUGUCUUGAAGAAACGUUUGUACAACCGGGAGAAAACAAAGCUCUGCUUUCAGAAGUCCUUUGGAUUUGGCUUCCAUUUGGCACAGCAGGCGUCCCUGCUUCCCACAGCUCUGCCCUCCUCCAGAUGAAGUUUCCAUUGGGUUGGGAGGAACGAAGGACAUCUCUCCGUGUUCCCUGUGUCAUUUGGUUGGAAGCAGUGCAAGACAAAGUUAACAUCCUCUUCUUUACCCAUUUUUUGGGUUAAAAUGCCGCGUGGUGGGAUAUCCCUAUCCUUGAGGUACCAUAUACAGCGUGCGCUUCAGAAGCAUCCGACCCACUGGGCUGGAAAUGUUUCAGCUUUUGUUCUUUCUGCUUGUAAAGCCAGCAGUACGGUGCUUGGAAAUUCACCUUUUAUCUUUGCAAAGUUGUGUUCACAGCUGUGUCCUUCCAUCACGCUGCGAAGCCUCCAGCCGCAGACCUGGCUUCGGGACCCGAGUCCCCCUUCCCUGGAUCUCGCAGCCCGUGGGCUGCAGGCUUUCUGCAGCAGAAAACUUGUGGUUUAUGUGCUGCUGUGGGAAUGGAGACUAAAGGUUAAGGCGAUGACUUGUGCUGCGUGGUGGCUGGCCGUGUGUAACCAAAUUCUGCUCAUCGUGUGUGUUGGGAGCUCAGCAGAGCGAGGAGGAGGGAGGCAGGGGAAGGAGGGUCUGCCCCAUAUUCUGCCCCGUACCUACACGUGCAGCCAGCUGUGAUCUCCUUGCUGAGGCUCCCGUGAAAUCCAGCGGCUGUUUCCACGUGGCUGCCUGUGCUUGCCCCAGGAACGGGCUGCAGCCUCGCAGUACGCAGCGGGGCUGUAUUAAGGGUACCCGGUGUGUGGCUGGUACCCGUGCUGGGACACAGCCCGAAGCUCGCCAUCUGAAGGCUUUGCUGAAGAAACUGCAAUCCCUUCAUGUACAUUCAUGUGGCUGCUGAGUGCUAAAGCCCGAUACCAGCAAACCACAAAGCAAAACUCGGGCAGAAAGGCGCAGACGUCCAGGAAGCACCUGCGAGGGCGGCGGUGCAUUGGAUCGGGACCCCAGCUCCUGCCUCUCCCCACGAGGUUGGCACCCAAACCCCGCAAUGCACAGGCUGCAGCAGGACACAGCCACGUUGAGGACCUCUCACCUUGCUCCAGUUUGUAAGAAGACUCAGAAAAAGCGCUGGCUUGCAUCAGGCAGAGGCUUAUCCUGGGGUUUGGUGGCAGAAUAUGAGGGAAGACACGUCCAGAAGUCACAGCCGUACUGCGCGUCGGCGGGGUGUUCAUGCAAAGUUCAGUGGAUGUUCAGAGAGUGAUUCAGGAGCUGGGAUUUUCCUUAAAAUUAUGCAGCUUUCCGAAUACCAGGAGGAAUAGGCUCGCAGUCCCUGUGUCACCCUUCCGUGGUGGUGAGCUGUUUCAGCUGGAAUGUGGCCCCACGAAGGUCACUUUCGGCUUCUCCUCCCUCCACUCCCAGUCACAUCCAUGCUUGUUUCUCUGUCAAGGCUGUCCUGGGGCGUACCCAGGUAAGGCCCAGCAUCCUCAGAAGGGGGAAAAAUUUUGGGGAAGGGGGAAAAAUUUGGGGGGCAGACCUGCCCGGCAGCCAGCAAGCUGGAAAAGUGUCCCACUGAUAACCCGCGGGGCCUCCAAGAGCCGUGCCCGCUCACCAAUGGGACAUCACUGCCUGACGGGCUCCCGUUAAUCACCAAAUACUCAUCAGUCACCAAAUAACGAGUCCUAAGGAGACACGGGCAGGUUGCUGAAGGUGUCUUUAACACUUAGAAAAACCGUCUGAGCCGGUGGCAGUCGUCAGUGCGGGGAGGAGAACUGGCUGCGAUGGCACGGGGAGCGCACACCGCAGUGGAGGCAGGAGAAACUCUGCUUCCUUCAUCCUUAUUCUCACGUGGGUGCUUGCCAUGGGAUUCCUGACUCUUGGAAUAAAUAAAUUUUGGUACUGCCGUGAGCUCUGCUCCGUGUGCCGUGCUGUCAGGAGUGACUUGGUGUGCUGGGGCACCACGAGCCCCAAAAAUAACGCUGCUGGAGCGCUCGCAGCCCACGCUGCCGUUCCCUGAUGGAGCCCUUGGAUGUGAGCGAGCCUUCGACCUCUUGCAAAAACCAAUUUUAUUCCGUGGGAGCUUCCCCGUGGAGCUGCUUCGACUCAACUCGUGCCCGGCGUCUCAAUUCUGGGCACGGCAAAGAGGAGAGAGGUGCGCUUCUGUGUCAGAACCGGGGUUUUGGAAAGGCAGAGAGGAAACAGCAGCCCUGCCCUAAGAGGAGAAACCUAAAAGCAGAAGGCAGUCGGCUUUUCUUCCACCGUGCUCUCACAAAUUCCCUUCCACGGGGUUGUGAGGAUGGAGGGAGACGCUCCCCGAGCCCCCCCCGGGAGGUGGGCGCUGGCCCCGCGCUGCCCCCGCAGAUAACGGGGCGAGGACGGGGGCAGAUAGGCACAGAUGUGCUGCUGGGAGGCUUGGCUCCGGGGUGGGGCUUCUUUUAUUUCAUUUUUUAAAUUUUUUUUUUCCUUUUUUUUUUUGUUUGGGGGUGUGUGUGAAGCAGAUGUUUGAGACAGCUGAGUGUGGCUGCCCCCGAGCUGAUCUCGCUGGAGGACCCUGAUACUUCAAUGCUGUUAGAGCAGGGAGAUAGGCAUGUUUGCCUUCAAAGCAGCUUUCCUGCCAUCCAAAUUUCAAUUUUCAUUGGGUUUGCUUUGCCUUUUAAUGCAAUAGAUGUAUGCGGGACCUGGAGCAUCUGCCUCGUUCCUUGGUUUCUUCUAACCAGCCUCUAAAACUCUUCUGGGAGACUUUUGUGUAGCCAUUCCCUAUCAUAAUUCUUCUAGGAAAAUUGUAGAGUCUUGGAAAACGUAUUUCCUGUCUAUCUCCGAUCCUCCUACUCUCAAUGAAUCACUUGUGCUCUCGUGUUGCUUUGGGCUGACUUCCCUAUUGACUUCAGCGCUUGGGAUUUAAUUAGAAACCUCGGGAUGUUAUUGGGAGCUGUAACACUACACAGGGAUUCUUCUCCGUGCAGCAGCAUUACAGUAAUAACAA